This 8285-nucleotide long non-coding RNA is filed under the name Homo sapiens (human). RNAcentral describes it as "long non-coding RNA NONHSAT153160.1". Lineage: Eukaryota; Metazoa; Chordata; Mammalia; Primates; Hominidae. The record is from RNAcentral.
CAGGCGUGAGCCACCGCACCUGGCUUGCAAAUUUCUAUUUCUAAUUGAGCCAGCAUUUCUUCCCAAAGGUUCACUGGAAAAUCACUGACAUGAAGAAGAUUGAUUAAUAGGAAAAAAGGCAUACACAUUUAUUUAAUGUGUAUACACAGGAGCCUUCAGAAUGAAGACCCAAAGAUAGAGGGGAAAUUGUCCACUUUUACACUUAGGUUCAAGACAGUAUGGAUAGUCACAUAGAAAUAUGACUGGACAAAAAGGGUCUGAUGGAAUGCUAGACUAGACUGAGUAGAAAGCGCAGCAAGGCCUGUCUGCCUAGAUUCUUCCAGGCAUCCAUGCCGCAUUCCUUCCUUCUGGGUAUGGGACAGGAUCCUUUCUGGAGUGGGGGUCUUAUGACCUACAGUCAAAUAAGAUAGGUUAGAUGAGGUCUUUAUGGCCAGUUUUUACACAGAAAGGUGGAAGGAAAGCUAGAGUUGUAUUUUAGGUUUUAUGGCUGGCUUUGGGGAAAAGGGGUUCUGGUUUUUAUAUCCGCCUUGGGGAAGAGGGAUUCUGGUUUCUAUGGCUGGCCUCGGGGAGAAUGAGGGGCAAGAGAUAGGAGGGCAGGAGAAGAUCAGAGAAAAACUUUUGCUUCUGAGGCUAAGCCUUCCUUUUGGGGUAUUGUUUUCUGAGUCCCAACACUUGUUAUUUGGAACAACUCAUUAGAAUGUAGGGACUGGGGCUAUGUCAUGUAUUAACAUCUCCCAGGGAGCUGUCAGCCUCCCUCAGCAAAUGCUUCCUGAAUGCAUGAAUGAACCAAUGAGUGUUGGCCAUGCAAAGUCAGUAGUUUUCUGCCAACCCCAUGAGUUCCACCAGUCGUCUCCAGAGAUUCCUUGCAAAGAACUUGGUACUGGGGCAUGUACUUAUAAUGUCUCCUUCUUUUUCCUUCUAUUCUAUCAUCCUGUGUCUUGUCCAGCCUCCAGGAGUUCAGUGAGAAAGGAAACACACACACACACACUACAAAAACCAGGAGAAAAAAACCAUUAAAAAAUCCCACUGUAGGAAGAUUCUGCUGCCUCUAGACUUUAGGAAAGCCGCUGACCUAAUUCAUUUGCUAUGGUGGCUUUUUCAUCCUCAGGACUGGUGCUGCCUGUGUAGUUCAGCCUGUGAAGGCUCCCUUUCAAGUAGGCCAGCUGCAUGGUAUUCUGGACUUACAAUGUGCAGGGCAGAUGUAGUGUCCCCUUGAAAUACACUUAACGGUGGGCAACAAAAUCCAAAAGCAAACCCCCACAAAUAUCUAACUUAAAAAAAAAGAACUUUCUAGAUCUCAGUCCUCAUCUGGAUACUUCAUUAGGAUCCUGAGACAUCUGGGGACCAGCGAUGGAAAGAAGGAAAGAGACUUCCAUAUGUUGAGAGCCUAUUAUAUGCCUGCAUUGUGCUAAGCCCUUUCCCAUAUGUUAUCCAAUGUAAUCCCCCACAAAAGCCCUGCCAGAGUGGAAUUAUUCUUCUCAUUUUACAAAUAAGAAAACAGUAGCUCGGAGAUGCUAAGUUACUCGCCCAAGGUCACAUAGACGGUGGUUCACAUACAACUAUUAGCAAUUGACAUUCAUAGCUCUUGUACUUCACAGUAUUUUCAUGCCUGGGACUCUGUUUUGAUCCCUGCAAGUACAGUGUUAUGAUACUCCUUUUAUGGAUGAUGAAUUGGAGACACCAAGAGGUUCAGAGCUUCUUCCAAAGUCAUAGAGCCAGUGAGUUGUGAAGACGAGGGGCUCAGUCUUCCGAUUCAUGCAAAGGGUUGAUGUGACAUUUUCAGAGCCUAGUUCUAGCUUCAUUGUGCUGGAAAGUGGUCUUGGCCUGAGGACAGCAGGGUGCUUCAGAGUCCAGUCUGAUGCCCUUUGGCAGCCACACACCCUCCUGUGAAGGCACCACAAAUUCCUUGGGAGGGAGACGCGUUCCAGAUGUGUAUGCCGCCUCUAGAGAAAACGUGGCUUCUUCUGGUGAGCCACAUGCAAGGUGUCUCGCUGGCCACUGUGAAGUGGGGAGAGACGCCUGGAGCAAGCCAUGAUCUCUGCCAGCACUGGAAUCACCAACAUCCUUGAGCUUCCUUCAGUCUGAUGCAGAACCUGAGGACGUGGCCAUCUCUUGGUGGUGUUCUGGGAAAGCAGGAAGUCUUCAGACCUGAUUGUCUUCAGAUUUCAGCCAUGGGCUCCCUGGUGAGCCAUCUCAGGGGUAUAGGAAACAUGGAUGCCGCCCCGGAGGCAGCUCUCAGCGCAAUCUGGGAUCUCAGGGGCUGACAGCAGAGAAGUUACCUGAAGGCGCAACAAGCAGUGGUCCCUGUAGGCAGAAGCUACCUGGUGCCCCAGUGAUGUGGGAGGCCCUCAGUUCCUGCGCUUCUUGCUGCCUGGGCACAUGUUCCCGGAGGAUGGCAGGACCUCCUGGCCUCUCCCCUGUCUACCCGCCAGAGCUCUGCUUCUUAAGAUAAGACCACCUCUUUCCUCCAGCCAAUGUGCUGCUCUUCUGACUUCAAAACACUUGCACUUCCAGGGCUCAACGUACAGUGAGUUCUCAAGGAUUCGGUGAAUAAAUGUACAAAUGUCUCCCGUUACAGCUGCCACAUUCAGUGGGGUAGGUCUUAUGAUCAUUUCUCUGAGGAAGGGUGCUGUGCUCAUGGUCUCAGUCUGCAAAUUGCAGACUGAGAAUCCAACGAAGGCACCUGCUCUCUGCCCCCGCACCCCCCCACCGGCCCCAAGGCUGACCCUCUCCUCCCCUGGUAUCAGCUCGAAGCAUUGUUGGAGUCCCCAGGGACCCGGAUGCUUCCCUGUGUGCCCUGUCUUUGAGGUGCCCGCCAUCUCAAGUCAAGACACACAGCAGGGUGUGAGAGGCCAGGGAGCCCAUGGGAAUUCCAGGGGAUGCUCUCAGCGUGUUUUGUGAGGAACGACUGGCUCACCUAGUCAGGCCUGGGACAAAAUAUCACCUGCUGAAGGAUGAUUGGCUGUGGCGCUGGCCUUGUGCUGGAAGAGGGCCUCUGAGAGCACAGGGAACUGCCCCUGGGCAUUUUCUCACAAUUGUUCCGAGGGUUAGAGGCUGGAUCCCAGGAACCGCGUGUGGCCACUCUGUCCUUCUUCAGAGAGAGAUUCAACUUCCGGAGCCAGGGUCACCCCUAAUGGCUCACUUCCCUUCCUUCCCCUGCCAGGAUUUUCCCCCAGAUUAUCUUGGGGUUGUCUCAGCCCUUACCAUACCUCAUCCUUCCCAGCAGCAGCCCGCCAGCCCCACGCGGAGUGUUCUACUCUUUCCAAAGACAGCCCACAUUUCGGGGUCUCCUGCACCCCCAAAUGUGGGAUUGGUAAGAUGCACGCUUCCUGACUUGGGUUUCUUCUUUCAUUUGCAGUUAAAAACCAUGACCACAAAAGAGACAUCCACAACUCGCUGUAAUAGGCGCUUGCAUAAUAGACGUGGGGACAGUGUUUGGGGGAACAGGAUAGGGUGGCUCUGUUUUUCCAACAGUUGUGAGAUUCAUUUUGGUGAAGUAAGAAGGUUUUACAGGGUCCUCUAAGACAGAAGGGGUUUCCUGGGAAGGAAGCUGGCUUAUCAACCUGCCUCCUCUCGCUCACCUGGUGCUAGCUGCUUACUUUCCACCCUUUGCCCUCUGCUGAAGGGAGAGUUUGAACAUCUUUAGAUUCUUUUCUUUGCUUGGCAAGAUGUGCUGUAUUUAUUCAACUUAGCCUCAAGGUUAAGCACACAGACCCUUGUCAGAAGCCAGACAGCGAGUGUUCAAAUCCCAGCUGUGUCACUUACCAGCUCUGUCACACCUUGGGGAUGUGACUUCACUUGCCUUGAUUUCCUCAUCAGUGAAAUGGGGAUAAUAAUAGUACUUGCCCCAUAAACAGGGAUAAUAGUACUUACCUUAUAUAAUAAGGAUUACAUGUAAACAUUUAAUAUACAUAAAGCUCUUGUUUGUUUGUUUUUAGAGACAGGGUCUCAGUCUGUCAUCCAGGCUGGAGUGCAGUGGCAAGAUGCUAGCUCACUGCAGCCUUGACCUCCUGGGCUCAAGGAAUCUUCCUAUUUCAGCUUCCUGAGUAGCUAGGAGUACAGGUGCAUGCCACCAUACCUGGCUAUUUUUAAAACAUGCUUUUAUAUAGAUGGGGUCUUGCUCUGUUUCCCAGGCUAGUUUUGAACUUCUGGCCUCAAGCACUCCUCCCACCUCAGCCUCCAAAGUAUGGGGAUUAUAGGCAUGAGCCACUGUGCCCAGCCAAACAGCUCUUAAAAUAUACAAAAGCUCUUAAAAUAGUGCCUAGCACAGUGUUUACUAUUGUCACUAUCUACUUGGAUUCUCUGCCUGUUGGUCUCCACUUUGCACAAUUAUUUGUGGACAUUUGAGAUCGUCGAGUUCUCGAGAACCAGUCAGGCUGAUUUACCUCCAAUGUACGUGUAAUAUGUUUUUUUCCUUUUCUGGAACUGAGCAACAUCCUCCAAGUUUGUCCACUCUCCGAGUGUCUUAACUGCCCCCGGUAGAGAGGCAUUUAGCAAACAGAAACAGAUUACAGAGACCCUCGUGGCCACAUGCAAUUUGCAGUUGCUCUCAAGAGUGGGUGUGGUCACUUGUUGUUCCCUUUAGCCAUCAUAUCAGCUGCCUGGGUGAGGGGUCAGUGUGCCAAACGUUCCUGGUGGGAAAUGACUUGGUUUCCCAUAUGAGCCCCGACCUUCACUGGCCUCUCCCUCUUAGAACUCCCAUUAACCACCAUGUGUGCUGGUCACUGCAGCUGAAUCCAUCCACAGGGGCUGCCCAGAAAAAGACAAUGACUUCUGCAGGGCUGGGGAGGCUGUCCUCGUGAAAAUAACUGAAUCUACCCGAGUGUGUGGCCUGUGCUGGGGAAACGUGGGUGACUUGAAUGAUGUCAGGCAAUCAGUGCAAUUGAAAUAUGUCAAAAAUGGCUCCAUCAACGCACCCGGCUCAUAUUUAGCUAUAAAAUGUGAGGCCAGGUUACGAACCGGAAGCAUUUCUUUCAACCAAAGUCAUUUGGAAAGGAAUAUCUUUGACACAUCCUUGCUGCCCCUUCCCCCAUUGCGGUGUCCCUGGCUGUGUGGCUGGCAGCCUGGCUCUUGGUGAGUCGCAGCUGCACCUGUGCCCACCUUCUCACCACGGGAGUAGGUGCUUCUCCUUUGGGCACCUUCUGGCUUUGCACCGUAAAAGUGAAAUACGGUGUGGUCCUGCAAGCUGCUUCUCCAGUGAUGUGAAAAGCGUAAGAGAGAGGCUCUGGGAAGGGGCAGAUGCUGCAGGUGCAAUGAUGCCAGCUGUUGAGGACGGUGCCCUGUGCCUGGGGAAGUACAUGCUGUAACUGGAGCUCCACCUUGGUACCCCACCGCUGGACCCUCCAAAGAGAGCUCUGACAUGUAUGAAGUUUCAUAUACUCAAUUCCUUUACCGCUGGACUUGUGAGAAUUGUAUGAGGAAGGCCACUUUGAGGAUCAUAUUCAUGCUGGCAAUAAUGACAUGAAAAGCAACAGUAAUAGUAGCAACUAUCGUCAAGGUCCCAUAGGUACCAGUUUUCAUGCUUAACAGCACAACCAUCUCAUCCCUGGAACCAAGCAUCCCUGGAACCAAGCAAGAUCAGUGCUGUUGAUCUUCAUUUUGCAAUUGAGGUAACGGAGGCUCAGUUAACUUAAGUAACUUGUCAGGGGUACAAAGUAAGUAUAAGUGGCUGAGCUGUGAUUCAGAUCCAGGCCCAUCUGAUGCGAUAGCUCAUUCUUUUCUCCAUGACAUCAGGAGGCCUCCUCCUCCCUUGUGUUGCUCAGAGUUCUGAUAAGAAUCAGAUUUCUAGGUGAAUCACAAGAAGGUGACUAUUCUGGUUAGAUAACGGGAGAAUGGGCCCCAUCAUGGCAACAGACUCCUAAGACUCAUACAUCACAAGAAAGGGCUCCCUACAGCUUUGACACUAGGGUGCUUCUCUGUGCACCUCCUUGCUCCCCUCCCAUGAGAAGGACUGUCUUUCAUCCUCAUAGCUAUUAUUUUUGAAACAUCAGUUUUAAUUUGGGGCACCCGCUCUCUUCGGGAGAUUGCAAAAAUUAAAUCGUUUUUAAGCAACCCAACAACACUUCUGGGGUUUGUAAUAAACUUGUGAAAUUUGCGGAACUUGGUGGUUGAGGUUCUCUCCGUCCUACUUCCCUGGGGCCCCGAGGAGCUUUCGAGUUGGUUCUUCAUGCCCUCUUGUUUGGAGCUGCUUUUGUCAACUGGGCCCAGCUACUGCGUCUUGGACCAAGGAGGCGAUGAGCCCUGAAACAGUCCAGGGUCUCUAGGAGAGCAACUCCCAAACCAUGUUUCUGGCCCUGCCUUCCCUCUGUUAUUCUGGGGAAAAAACUGACCCUACGUGGGUGGGAGGUCCCAUCUACAGAGACCAGCCUUGUUUGUUUCCAUAGGAUUUGACUACUGAGGGGCACGAAAAUACAUAGCCAACUUCCCCUUGCAGAGUUCACUGUCUCCCCUUCCAGCAGAUGACUCCAGGAUCCUUGGAAGCAUAGGAACACACCCCAGUUGAUGACACUGUUUCCUCUCCUCUGCAGAAGAAGAUCCUCUCCACUCACAGGAAACAGCAGCAAGAUGGUUUCCAGGCACCAGCUGUCACUGGGCUUGUACUGUUACAGUCCAAGCUGAGCACGCAAGGCAGGGUGUGUUUCUGGCUCCCCAUAGCUGAAAGCUCAACUUCAUGUGGUCAGGUCUUGGAUGGCGUCAAGGCCUGUAGGGUGAACAGAACUCUCUGAGUCACCUUUCCCUGCUGUUCAGGGCCUUGAUAUAACAGACAGGGCCAUUGGCUCCACAGGGGCAUGGUGGGGAAGAAGGGUCCAGGAAGGCACUUUGCCUUUGUGUCUUGUCCUUGGUAUUUGGAGGGCAACACCCCUGUAUUUUUCUAAUCCUAUUAGCUAAGAAUCUGGAACCUGGGCCAGAGGCCUGGGUUCUAACACUAUCUCCACCGUUUCCCAACCAUGGAUACACCCUAUACUUUCCCUCGUCUGUACAGUGGAGCUAAUAAUAGUACCUAACUCAUGGAACUAUCAUGAGUCUUAAAUGAGUGUUAACACGCAUGAAGUGAAGUGCUUAUAUCUGGCAGAUAGUAAAUGUGUAUUAUCAAUUUAAUUUACACUAUUAUUUGACUGUAUUUCUACUAUACAGAGCAACUAUUGCCUGGUCAUAUGUCCUAACAAAUAAACUGUGGAGACAGACAAGUAACUGUCUCAGUGCUAAGGACACCACUGACCCUCAACAGAAUAAUGCCCCCUAAAGAUGUGUAGACCCUAAUCCCCGGAAUCUGGGAAUGUGUUAGGUUACACGGCAAAGGCAAAGGAAGGUUGCAGGAGGAGCUGAGGCUGCAAAUCAGCUGACCUUACAGUGGGAAGAGAAGCCUGAGUUCUCCAGGUGAGACCAAUGUCCAGCAUCCUGGCUGAGCCUGCUCCCUUUACAAACAAGGUUAGGAUUUAUAACUGCUUUCAUGGUAACAUCUGGCUCAUUUCUCUCAAGUUCCCCCAACUCUUUUUUUUUUUUUAGUAUACAAAUCUUUAUUCUAAAGUCAUUUCAUUUCGGCUCAAUUCCUUCUCUCUCUCUUUCUACCUGUUUGUUUGGCCUUUGGAGAUUGAGAAUGAGAAGUAACAGGACUCAUUACCCACAGCUAGUCACAAGAGGAGACAGAGGGAGAGUGAAUGCAAAAGAAAGGUACCAGAGAGGCCACCUUGCUGGCUGUCAAGGUGGAGUAAAGAGGCCACAAGCCAAGGGGUGUAGGCGGCCUGGUCUCUUCUGCAGCUGCUUUUUAAAACUCUAGGACUUUCUUCCACCAACAAAUUCUUUAGGUUUUAUCAGAGUUAGGAGGCAGUUAGCAUCUGCAACAAUAGAAAGAAUAUGUAUUAUUUGGAAUGCUUGUGUGGCUUAUACAGCUCCCAACCAGUUCGGGAGUCUUAACACAUUGUGCUAAAAGAUGCUGAAGGCUGGGUUUCCACUUCCCAAACAAUUUCAUUCUCUAAGAAAACUGCCGAUAAAGAUAAAAAACAUUACAGCCAAAUGGAGUCUUGCCUGAAUCCCAGGCCCUGCCACAUCGACCGCUGGUUCUAUCAGUGGCCAGUGUUCUGGAAACGCUUCCCCGACAUCAAGGAAGCCGGAUCCUCCCCACACAGUGAUGGGUUCUAGGCCAUUUUUGCUGCCUCGGUCUGGGAGCUCACCAUCCUCAGAAGCUCCCAGCACCUGGAGAUGUCUCGCAUCCUGGCUGAGCCUGCUCCCUUUAGCAAACAAGGUCAGGAUUUGUAACUGCUUUUGUGGCAACAUCUGGCUUAUUU